AUUGAACGCUGGCGGCAGGCCUAACACAUGCAAGUCGAGCGGAUGAAGGGAGCUUGCUCCUGGAUUCAGCGGCGGACGGGUGAGUAAUGCCUAGGAAUCUGCCUGGUAGUGGGGGAUAACGUCCGGAAACGGGCGCUAAUACCGCAUACGUCCUGAGGGAGAAAGUGGGGGAUCUUCGGACCUCACGCUAUCAGAUGAGCCUAGGUCGGAUUAGCUAGUUGGUGGGGUAAAGGCCUACCAAGGCGACGAUCCGUAACUGGUCGGAGAGGAUGACGAGUCAAGCGGAAAUGAGGCACCGGGCCGAGCCCCACGGGGGGGCAGCAGGGGGGAAUUUGGGAAAAUGGGCGAAAGCCUGACCACCCCCUCCCGGUGGUGUAAAAAAGGUUUUCGGUUUGUAAAGCCCUUUAAGGGGGGAGGAAGGGAAUUAAGUUAAUACCUUGUGUUUUUGCCUUUACCAACAAAAAAAGCACCGGCAAAUUUGGU
RNAcentral lists this ribosomal RNA (483 nucleotides) under uncultured bacterium. Its description in RNAcentral is "partial 16S ribosomal RNA". It matches the Rfam family "Bacterial small subunit ribosomal RNA", at positions 30 to 506 of the family's 1533-position model. The record is from RNAcentral.